GAGUUUGAUCGUGGCUCAGAACGAACGCUGGCGGCAGGCUUAACACAUGCAAGUCGAACGCCCCGCAAGGGGAGUGGCAGACGGGUGAGUAACACGUGGGAACGUGCCCUAAGGUUCGGAAUAUUCCCGGGAAACUGGGAGCAAUACCGAAUGUGACCGCAAGGUGAAAGAUUUAUCGCCUUAGGAUCGGCCCGCGUCGGAUUAGCUAGUUGGUGGGGUAAAAGCCUACCAAGGCGACGAUCCGUAGCUGGUCUGAGAGGACGACCAGCCACACUGGGACUGAGACACGGCCCAGACUCCUACGGGAGGCAGCAGUGGGGAAUCUUGGACAAUGGGCGCAAGCCUGAUCCAGCCAUGCCGCGUGCAGGAAGAAGGCUUUCUGAGUUGUAAACUGCUUUUGCCAGGGGAUAAAAUACGAAUGCGUCCGGAAUUGAAGGUACCUGGUGAAUAAGCCACGGCUAACUACGUGCCAGCAGCAGCCGCCGU
Molecule: ribosomal RNA, 486 nt
Filed under: uncultured Alphaproteobacteria bacterium
Lineage: Bacteria; Pseudomonadati; Pseudomonadota; Alphaproteobacteria
Description: bacterial SSU rRNA
Rfam family: Bacterial small subunit ribosomal RNA
Source: RNAcentral